Molecule: ribosomal RNA, 467 nt
Filed under: uncultured bacterium
Lineage: Bacteria
Description: partial 16S ribosomal RNA
Rfam family: Bacterial small subunit ribosomal RNA
Source: RNAcentral
GGCGAACGCUGGCGGCGUGCUUAACACAUGCAAGUCGAACGGAAAGGCCUCUUUCGGGGGGUACUCGAGUGGCGAACGGGUGAGUAACACGUGAGUAACCUGCCCUUGACUUUGGGAUAACUUCAGGAAACUGGGGCUAAUACCGGAUAGGAGCUCCUGCUGCAUGGUGGGGGUUGGAAAGUUUCGGCGGUUGGGGAUGGACUCGCGGCUUAUCAGCUUGUUGGUGGGGUAGUGGCUUACCAAGGCUUUGACGGGUAGCCGGCCUGAGAGGGUGACCGGCGACAUUGGGACUGAGAUACGGCCCAGACUCCUACGGGAGGCAGCAGUGGGGAAUAUUGCACAAUGGGUGGAAGCCUGAUGCAGCAACGCCGUGUGCGGGAUGACGGCCUUCGGGUUGUAAACCGCUUUCGCUCAUGACGAAGCUUUGUGUGACGGUAGUGGGUAAAGAAGCACCGGCUAACUACGUG